GACUACAGCCAUGCCACCCUGAACAAGCCCGAUCCCGUCUGAUCUCGGAAGCUACGCAGUGUUGGACCUGGUUAGUACUUGGGUGGGAGACCACCUAGGAAGACCAGGUGCUGUAGGCA
This 119-nucleotide ribosomal RNA is filed under the name Pteropus alecto (black flying fox). Lineage: Eukaryota; Metazoa; Chordata; Mammalia; Chiroptera; Pteropodidae. The record is from RNAcentral.